UCUAAGGGAAGUUUGAGAUAUUACUCAAUUAGUCUGUUUAAACAGAACAGAAACAUGGGAGAAACUAACGAUUUAUUUAUUGCAGGUGUGUUUAUGGGGGAAACAGCAGGGGAAGGCCUAAAUUUGCUAAGUAGAAAAAAAGUUGAGGGUAUGGUAUCGACAUACAAAGUGUGGUACGGAAUAUGGAUACGUUAUAUAUGUAUCAGCGUUUCUUGGAUGCAGGUUGCUUCUGGGAAUUGAAGUAGACGGCGGCAACAGGAAGUCCGAGGCCAUUCUGUGAGGCGAAUUGUCGAGUUUUGAAAUUGCUCCGGGUGGUGGGUGGUCGGAGCCUUCCGCCGAGAGGGGUGUUUUGUUUGAAAACGGCAAAUACA
This 371-nucleotide long non-coding RNA is filed under the name Cucumis sativus (cucumber). RNAcentral describes it as "long non-coding RNA (CSAT_LNC000106)". Lineage: Eukaryota; Viridiplantae; Streptophyta; Magnoliopsida; Cucurbitales; Cucurbitaceae. The record is from RNAcentral.